Molecule: ribosomal RNA, 465 nt
Filed under: Vreelandella stevensii
Lineage: Bacteria; Pseudomonadati; Pseudomonadota; Gammaproteobacteria; Oceanospirillales; Halomonadaceae
Description: partial 16S ribosomal RNA
Rfam family: Bacterial small subunit ribosomal RNA
Source: RNAcentral
CCUACGGGCGGCUGCAGUGGGGAAUAUUGGACAAUGGGGGCAACCCUGAUCCAGCCAUGCCGCGUGUGUGAAGAAGGCCCUCGGGUUGUAAAGCACUUUCAGUGAGGAAGAACGCCUGGUGGUUAAUACCCAUCAGGAAAGACAUCACUCACAGAAGAAGUACCGGCUAACUCCGUGCCAGCAGCCGCGGUAAUACGGAGGGUGCGAGCGUUAAUCGGAAUUACUGGGCGUAAAGCGCGCGUAGGUGGCUUGAUAAGCCGGUUGUGAAAGCCCCGGGCUCAACCUGGGAACGGCAUCCGGAACUGUCAAGCUAGAGUGCAGGAGAGGAAGGUAGAAUUCCCGGUGUAGCGGUGAAAUGCGUAGAGAUCGGGAGGAAUACCAGUGGCGAAGGCGGCCUUCUGGACUGACACUGACACUGAGGUGCGAAAGCGUGGGUAGCAAACAGGAUUAGAUACCCGAGUAGUC